CUCUGGCCUUUGGUAGUGUUGUAUGUUAAUUAAUUAAUGUUUGUUUAUUUAUUUGUUUAGGAAAUAAGUAUGACGUACAUUUUCACUGAACUAGGACACUUUUUAUAAUAGUUUUUCGAUAUCGCUCGGGCAAAAAUAAUCACGAAUAUAAUGCCUACCCAUGCAUUGAAAAAAACGGGUAUAAACUACACAGUGCAGCUUCCAACAAGAAUACAAGAUUUAUUGAUUUUCAAAAUGCGACCAAAAUUAAAAAUUUGCUCGCAGCGGAAAAAAUUC
RNAcentral lists this long non-coding RNA (276 nucleotides) under Mytilus galloprovincialis (Mediterranean mussel). The record is from RNAcentral. Lineage: Eukaryota; Metazoa; Mollusca; Bivalvia; Mytilida; Mytilidae.